RNAcentral lists this ribosomal RNA (555 nucleotides) under uncultured bacterium. RNAcentral's name for it is "bacterial SSU rRNA". It matches the Rfam family "Bacterial small subunit ribosomal RNA", at positions 1 to 513 of the family's 1533-position model. The record is from RNAcentral.
UACCUGGCACUGCGAAUCAUCUGGUGUAAAGUUGAUCAUGGCUCAGNACGNACGUAGCGGCGUGCCUAAUACAUGCAAGUCGAGCGAACAGAGAAGGAGCUUGCUCCUUUGACGUUAGCGGCGGACGGGUGAGUAACACGUGGGCAACCUACCUUAUAGUUUGGGAUAACUCCGGGAAACCGGGGCUAAUACCGAAUAAUCUAUUUUACUUCAUGGUGAAAUACUGAAAGACGGUUUCGGCUGUCGCUAUAAGAUGGGCCCGCGGCGCAUUAGCUAGUAGGUGAGGUAACGGCUCACCAAGGCGACGAUGCGUAGCCGACCUGAGAGGGUGAUCGGCCACACUGGGACUGAGACACGGCCCAGACUCCUACGGGAGGCAGCAGCAGGGAAUCUUCCACAAUGGGCGAAAGCCUGAUGGAGCAACGCCGCGUGAGUGAAGAAGGAUUUCGGAUCGUAAAACUCUAGUUGUAAUGUGGAAGAACAAGUACAGUAGNUAACUGGCUGUACCUUGACGGUACCUUAUUAGAAAGCCACGGCUAACUACNGUGCCAUGCA